RNAcentral lists this ribosomal RNA (497 nucleotides) under uncultured bacterium. Its description in RNAcentral is "partial 16S ribosomal RNA". It matches the Rfam family "Bacterial small subunit ribosomal RNA", at positions 28 to 507 of the family's 1533-position model. The record is from RNAcentral.
GAUGAACGCUGGCGGCGUGCCUAAUACAUGCAAGUCGAGCGAACAGACGAGGAGCUUGCUCCUCUGACGUUAGCGGCGGACGGGUGAGUAACACGUGGAUAACCUACCUCUAAGACUGGGAUAACUUCGGGAAACCGGAGCUAAUACCGGAUAAUAUAUUCAACCGCAUGGUUCAAUAGUGAAAGACGGUUUUGCUGUCACUUUUAGAUGGAUCCGCGCCGCAUUAGCUAGUUGGUAAGGUAACGGCUUACCAAGGCGACGAUGCGUAGCCGACCUGAGAGGGUGAUCGGCCACACUGGAACUGAGACACGGUCCAGACUCCUACGGGAGGCAGCAGUAGGGAAUCUUCCACAAUGGGCGAAAGCCUGACGGAGCAACGCCGCGUGAGUGAUGAAGGUCUUCGGAUCGUAAAACUCUGUUAUUAGGGAAGAACAAAUGUGUAAGUAACUAUGCACGUCUUGACGGUACCUAAUCAGAAAGCCACGGCUAACUACGUG